This 477-nucleotide ribosomal RNA is filed under the name uncultured bacterium. RNAcentral's name for it is "partial 16S ribosomal RNA". It matches the Rfam family "Bacterial small subunit ribosomal RNA", at positions 28 to 523 of the family's 1533-position model. The record is from RNAcentral.
GACGAACGCUGGCGGCGUGCUUAACACAUGCAAGUCGAACGGUAAGGCCCUUCGGGGUACACGAGUGGCGAACGGGUGAGUAACACGUGGGUGAUCUGCCCUGCACUUCGGGAUAAGCCUGGGAAACUGGGUCUAAUACCGAAUAGGACCACGCGCUUCAUGGUGUGUGGUGGAAAGCUUUUGCGGUGUGGGAUGGGCCCGCGGCCUAUCAGCUUGUUGGUGGGGUAAUGGCCUACCAAGGCGACGACGGGUAGCCGGCCUGAGAGGGUGACCGGCCACACUGGGACUGAGAUACGGCCAGACUCCUACGGGAGGCAGCAGUGGGGAAUAUUGCAUAAUGGGCGCAAGCCUGAUGCAGCGACGCCGCGUGAGGGAUGACGGCCUUCGGGUUGUAAACCUCUUUCGCCAGGGACGAAGCGCAAGUGACGGUACCUGGAGAAGAAGGACCGGCCAACUACGUGCCAGCAGCCGCCGUAA